Molecule: long non-coding RNA, 4847 nt
Organism: Brassica rapa (field mustard)
Lineage: Eukaryota; Viridiplantae; Streptophyta; Magnoliopsida; Brassicales; Brassicaceae
Source: RefSeq, a predicted model, not a curated record
GAAAUGUACAUCGAUGCAUAUUUCAGUCUUCAAUUCUGAUGAAAUCAUAAAAAGGGCAGCUUUUUCGACAAAGUUAGAUUUUAUUAACUUGAAAGUUGAGUAUCACUAUACAAACUUGGAGUAAGCUACUUAGGUGGGUAUUUCUAAUCAUUAUAGAAAGCUCUGUUGGGAAGACCCUUUUUGGUACAUUAUUCUAAUUACGCCUAACAAAUGAAUACGAAGAGAAAGUAAACUUUGAAUUCUAGAACUCCAAAUCACGUAGGAUGUUAAUAAGUGAAAAAUCAGUAGAUAUUUUCUUUUAAAUUUUAAGUAUAUAAAAGCCUCUGCGGCAUCAAUGUAAACUUCUUCAAGAUGAUGUAUGAAGAUAGCAAAAGAUGAAUGUGACCGACAAUAUGACUAGAUGAAGUCAUUUUUGAAAAAAAAAAAUCAAUAACAAAAUUCUGAUUUAACAUAAUUUACUAAAAUUUUAAUUCAAGCCAACACUAACUAUAUAUUUAUUAAAGAAUAAUGAAGAUUGCUGUUAUUUUAAUUCAAACCAAAAAUUUAUUAAAAAUAGCAAUAAGAUCUCUAGAAUUUUUUAAUUAUUUGUUUGUUUACAAUAUUUUCAAUCUAUAAUGAUUUUUCAAUACUUUAUAAAUUAAUAUAAAAUAAUUUUUAUAUAACUUUCUGCCCGUAGGGCGGACCGGCGUUGAGGUCUUGGGUCGAAGGGAGAGGGAGAGAGAGAGUAAGAGGGUUGUGAGGAGAACAGAGAGAAUCGUCAUGGAGGAGUUGGGGAAGACUUGCAUUGUGCGAUGAUUCAUAGAAGGAGAAGGAGAGAGAGAGAGAGACGAUAGAAGAAAGAGAAGGCUCUUUUGUAGAGCUGUGGUUAUAGAGACAGAAGUGAAAGCAUUCAACAGCCUAAUCCUAGAUGUAACAAACGCUGCUGCAGAAUGAAAAUGGAAUCAUGUAAGCUGUUCAUCGGUCGAAGUGAUGCUCAUGAAGGAUCGGCCACUGGCUGUGCUUAUGGUUUUGUUUUGUUUUUUUUUUUUUUUGUCUUCACUGAUUUCAGAGUUGCUGAGAGAGUCUUAUUGCUUCUAUACGUAAUUCAUAUUAAAUUUUAAGUUUUCAUCAAAUUUCUUUUGAGCCAAUACUUCAUUGCUUCAGUAUCAAUCUGCUUCUUAAAAUAAUUCAUUGUUUGGAACAGAGGUUACUGCUCCUCCAGGUAAAGCUAUUCGUUUCUUUGGAGAGCGCACCACCAAACCGUCACGAGGAUCUCUAUCUCCUUCUCUGUUGUGCAGGAGACGAUCUCCAUCUCUAUUCGUCCUUUCCGAACCUGAGAAACGUGAACCGAGAUGGUACCUUUGUCAUUAUCUCAACAUAAUCUCCGGCCGCCGGAAUCUGUAUCUACGGUGUUUCGGGGUUACGCAACCGCCACAUCGAAACACGCCUGCGACCAUCUUCGCCGUCACCUCCGACUUGGCUUCCAUAUCCGCUCUUCCCUUCAGGUUCAAGCUAAUUUUCUUCUCUUAUAUUUUUCUCCUAAAGUUUAGAACUUUGGAACAAAAAAGGUUUAAACUUUCUUCACCUGUGUGCUUUGUGAUUAGCUCUUUUGCAAUUCUAAUUGUAAAAAGGUUUCAACUUUCAAUCACGAUCAUAUCUGCUUUCAAGAUUUAUCUCAUUUUGUCUUGGACUCUCUGUCUCUCUGCUGCUUUUGAGAGAUACUGCUGCAAGUCUAUGAUGCUGCACGAACGGAGUUCUCAAGAAGAGUCGUUGUAUUCAACAGGGCUAAGUUUCUUCACUCCAGAGAUGAUAUCAGAUCUUCGUUAUCUGUAUGUUUCUUUAGUGGAUGAGAGAGUAGGAUAGGUCCUAGAGGUGAGGAGGGGUCAUCAUCAAACCAGGAGACAUCCAAGAGAAACACAAGCAGUGGACGGAGGUGGACCAAUGUCCUCCUUGCCGUUAACGUUAUAAUGUAUAUUGCACAAGUUGCAUCCAAUGGUAGAGUGCUGACAUGGGGAGCCAAGGUAUCAUAUUCAGAUACUUGAUUAAAUACAAGAGGGAAACAGUUUGAUAUCUGAAUAUCUCUGUUCCAUUUCUCUUAAGUCUAUCUCCAAUGAAUUUUUUUGGUUCUUACGAUAAGCCAACUCAUCUAAUAGCUUUUACAGAUAAAACGUUGUUUGUUCUCUUCUCACCGCUUGCUCGAAACAGGUAUGUUAAUUAUUAUUUUUGGUCCUGUGGAAUUUCAGGGCUUUGUUUUUUUUAAUAAGUUACAAUGUUUAGAUUAAGAGUCUUGGCCUUGUGUUUGUCCGCUCGAACCUGCAAAAUCAGAGCUUUUUAUGUGUUUUGUGUUUGUACUAAUCUAUAUAGUGUAUCAAAGGAUUUUCUUGAGAGUAUCUCCAUAUUUAGUGGUCUGAACAAAAUGUUCUUUAUCGAGAUUAUGUAGAUCUAUUAUUUUCAUUUCUUUGGAGUUGCACAAAUGAACGGAGCAAUCUUUUUCUAAUAUAUAGCUUUGUGACAUGUUUCUAGAUUAUUGUGAAGUUGCAUCCGACAUUAGAGGUAGUUCUUGACUUUGAAAAUAUUCUGGUUUUCUUUAAUGGGUAUCUUCAUAGUGUGGUCACUUUAUUUAAUGUUUUCACCAUGGUUACAGGGAGAGUUUGAUGCAGUGUUAAAAUUUUCAGGUACCGUUAACAGAUAUGUGGAAUAUGUUCAUAACUUCUUUCAUGCUAGAGAUUGUUGGGAGCUAUCACUUAUUUUUCUCUUGCAUCUAGCGAGUAAACAUGAUCUCCGUUGAUUUAAAUCAAGCAGUCCAGCUGUUGGAUUUCCAUUGAAGAGAAUAAAAGUUUGUAUGGGAUAAAUUUUCAAUUGAUCAGGAUCUGUGUUGUUGGAUGAGUUUCAGAAAGCGGUAACGGGCAUGGAAGGAGCUGAUGUGCUUUCAAGUGUGAAGAUGUUCUAAACGAUAGAGGCCUGACCGAUUCAGUGAUGACUGAAUCAGUCUAAAGGAUUUGUAAGCAUCGCCAAUUAUAGAAAUGGGUACAACACCUUCUUCAAUGACGCGAGUUAUGUAAUAUUCAUCUUACAAGCUCCAAAACGCAUUUCUUGCCUUUCUAAAGGAUCUAUAGAUCUUUUAAAUUAUUCUUAUACUAUAAAUCAGGAGAUCUGCCCAGAUGUGUGGGUAGAGUAGAGAUGGCUGAAGGCGCAGCUAGCUGAUGAGAUCAUUUGUUUUAGCUGGGAGUAUGAUUAUGUCAACUUCAUGUUGUAACAUGUAUACGUUUGUGGAAUAGAUUUGCAUUCUUUUAAAAUCUGGUCAAGAUAAGGUUAAUAAGUUCAAUUCAGCAUUUUAAACAAAAGUCGAAGUUAUAAAUUGCACAAACCAUUGUAUUAAGGUUAUUAUUUGAUUUAUAUAAUUAUUUGUGCACCCAGUUAAAAAAUGUUUGGCUUCACCCCUGCUCUCAACUAUGUAUAAUAAUUUUCAAUAAGACUAUGUAUAAUUGGCACUAUCUUUAGAAAUGUAAUAUUUAGAGAAAAUAGUUUUAAAUAUAACGUUCCGCCGGUAGGGCAGACAAACCCCUAGAUAUAGAAGAAAAAGAAAAAAAUAUUAAGAUAAAUCAUUUUAUUACAAUUUAUCGAUAGUGAAUGGAAACAUUAAAGAAAAAUAUUUCAACUUCCAAGAGAAUUAGAAUCCUCAUUUGUAGUGAAUAUUUAGUUAUACAAAACAAAUUUGAUCACGAAAAAUUUCCAGAACCCUGGAUAUCCAUUUGGUGCCCACUCUUAUGUGUAUGUAAAAAAUAUAUAGAGGUAGUUUAUAAAUAUAUAAAAUACUGUAAUUAGUACUAAAAUAUAUUUUUGUUUAAAAUAACACAUGAAAGAUAAUACUCUAUUAAAAUCAUUUAAAUAAAAAUAAAAUAAGUGUAGACAAUAAGAAAUUACAUUCAUUAAGUUAGAUAUCAUUUUCAAAAAUAUAUUUAAUCAAAAUUACUAUACCGUUUGAGUUUAUAGGUUAGUGAUUAUUGUUUAGGUUUAAUAUUUAGGGAAUAAAAUUAAGUUUAUGUAGGAUUUUGUUGCUCGAGAAAUAAUUUAACGAAUAUAUAAAAUUAAAUAUCAUACUUAAAAGUAGAAUGUUAAAUUCUCUAUAUAGUAGCGUCUUCUUCGAAUUUUACUAUAUAUACAUAUAUACUUUAGAAAACUUUGAAUCUAUUAAUUAUUUGGUUAAUAGUUGUAAUUUUUAAAAGCCCAAACUAUUUUUAAUUAUUUAUUUAUCAGAUUAUAUGAUAUGUCAUAUAAAACAAAAAUAUUUUUAAAAUAGUUUUACUAUAAUUGGUACUAGAAUUUUUUUAAAAAUAUCAAUUUAAUCAAAUAGAACCUAAAUGUAACAAAUUAAAAUAUAUAAUCCGCGCGUAGCGCGGAAAAAGACUCUAGUUGAAUCUAAAAAUCUCUCUCAUGCCCGCAUCAGCUAAUAUUAAGAUACGUUCCGUCGUCAACAAUCAAAACUAAUAAUGAUAAUAUAGAUAUUAGGGAAACUAAUUAAGAAUAAUCAACAACACAUGGUUUUUCCAUUUUUUAUUUCUUUUUAAUUGUCCCUUACACCAACUUCUUUCAAGUUUUUCUUAGGUGUUGAAAGUGAGACUAAUAAAUAGCAAAUGAAACUUUUUACAUAAACUUUUUACAUAAAUAGCAUAACUAAAAUUUUAGUGUAUCAAUAAUUUAGUGAAUUUGCGAAUUUAUUAGAAAUGUUAUAUACCAUAUAGAACAUAUUAAAUUUAAAUAAUAUAAAACUGAAUAAUUUAGAAACUUGUAGUCUAAGGCUAUAUAUAUGUAUUCUCAAACUGUAACCAAAUAUAAUAUCUACAUUAAGUUACUCAACUAUCAUAACC